RNAcentral lists this ribosomal RNA (253 nucleotides) under uncultured bacterium. RNAcentral's name for it is "partial 16S ribosomal RNA". It matches the Rfam family "Bacterial small subunit ribosomal RNA", at positions 524 to 776 of the family's 1533-position model. The record is from RNAcentral.
UACGAAGGGUGCAAGCGUUACUCGGAAUUACUGGGCGUAAAGCGUGCGUAGGUGGUUCGUUAAGUCUGAUGUGAAAGCCCUGGGCUCAACCUGGGAAUGGCAUUGGAUACUGGCGAUCUAGAGUGCGGUAGAGGGCAGUGGAAUUCCCGGUGUAGCAGUGAAAUGCGUAGAGAUCGGGAGGAACAUCUGUGGCGAAGGCGACUGCCUGGACCAGCACUGACACUGAAGCACGAAAGCGUGGGGAGCAAACAGG